AUUGAACGCUGGCGGCAUGAUUUACACAUGCAAGUCGAACGGUAACAGGCCGCAAGGUGCUGACGAGUGGCGAACGGGUGAGUAAUGCAUCGGAACGUGCCCAGUCGUGGGGGAUAACUACUCGAAAGAGUAGCUAAUACCGCAUACGAUCUAUGGAUGAAAGCGGGGGACCGUAAGGCCUCGCGCGAUUGGAGCGGCCGAUGUCAGAUUAGGUAGUUGGUGGGGUAAAGGCUCACCAAGCCAACGAUCUGUAGCUGGUCUGAGAGGACGACCAGCCACACUGGGACUGAGACACGGCCCAGACUCCUACGGGAGGCAGCAGUGGGGAAUUUUGGACAAUGGGCACAAGCCUGAUCCAGCAAUGCCGCGUGCAGGAAGAAGGCCUUCGGGUUGUAAACUGCUUUUGUACGGAACGAAACGGCUCUGGUUAAUACCCGGGGCUAAUGACGGUACCGUAAGAAUAAGCACCGGCUAACUACGUG
RNAcentral lists this ribosomal RNA (482 nucleotides) under uncultured bacterium. RNAcentral's name for it is "partial 16S ribosomal RNA". It matches the Rfam family "Bacterial small subunit ribosomal RNA", at positions 30 to 507 of the family's 1533-position model. The record is from RNAcentral.